This 356-nucleotide long non-coding RNA is filed under the name Chinchilla lanigera (long-tailed chinchilla). Its description in RNAcentral is "lncRNA (ENSCLAG00000028742.1)". Lineage: Eukaryota; Metazoa; Chordata; Mammalia; Rodentia; Chinchillidae. The record is from RNAcentral.
UCUGGCUUCAGAAUAAACACCUGCACUAUUUGCCACACAGUUCUUGAUGUGAGAGCCCGAUCAGCCAGCACCGCUCCAUGGAGCUGAUCUUGGAUCACUUCCAUAGAGAUGAGGCUGUAAAUUCAGACUCCACCCAGGGAAACAUAUUUCCAUGAUGUCAGACCACAUCUGAGGCUAAAGACCUUAACAGGAAAGGAAGCAGCCCGUCUCUGCCUCUGUGAAAACAGCCUCGGCUCAAGCUGGGUGCCUGCCACAGAAAGUACCGUGAUGGAGGAACCCGUUGAAUCAUCAAUGCAUCUUAAAGGCUUUUGAGUGAGGUUCAGGAUAAAGGGUGAGCAUGAAAGCACAGUAGCCAG